This 72-nucleotide transfer RNA is filed under the name Camelus bactrianus (Bactrian camel). It matches the Rfam family "tRNA". Rfam says of the family: Transfer RNA (tRNA) molecules are approximately 80 nucleotides in length. Their secondary structure includes four short double-helical elements and three loops (D, anti-codon, and T loops). The record is from Rfam by way of RNAcentral. Lineage: Eukaryota; Metazoa; Chordata; Mammalia; Artiodactyla; Camelidae. RNAcentral also lists the same sequence under 2 other names.
GGGGGAAUAGCUCAGUGGAAGAGUACCUGCCUAGCAUGCACAAGGUCCUGGGUUCAAUCCCCAAUACUUCCA